RNAcentral lists this non-coding RNA (97 nucleotides) under Lachnospiraceae bacterium A2. Its description in RNAcentral is "SAM riboswitch aptamer (S box leader)". It matches the Rfam family "SAM riboswitch aptamer (S box leader)". Rfam says of the family: The SAM riboswitch is found upstream of a number of genes which code for proteins involved in methionine or cysteine biosynthesis in Gram-positive bacteria. The SAM riboswitch acts at the level of transcription termination control. RNAcentral also lists the same sequence under 1 other name. Lineage: Bacteria; Bacillati; Bacillota; Clostridia; Lachnospirales; Lachnospiraceae. The record is from Rfam by way of RNAcentral.
CUCUUAUUCAGAGUGGUGGAGGUACAUAGGACCUGUGAAGCCACGGCAACCCCUCUACGGAAGGUGCCAACCUGAGCGAGCAAUCGAACAAUAAGAG